CGACAGCAAUAUGAAGGUCAGGCUGAAGACCUUACCCGAUUAGCUGAGAGGUGGUGCAUGGCCGUCGUCAGUUCGUACUGUGAAGCAUCCUGUUAAGUCAGGCAACGAGCGAGACCCACGUCCACAGUUGCCAGCAUACCCUCCGGGGUGAUGGGUACACUGUGGAGACCGCCGCUGCUAAAGCGGAGGAAGGAGUGGGCAACGGUAGGUCAGUAUGCCCCGAAUCUCCCGGGCUACACGCGGGCUACAAUGGUUGGUACAAUGGGCAUCUACCCCGAAAGGGGAAGGAAAUCUCUUAAAGCCAAUCGUAGUUCGGAUUGAGGGCUGCAACUCGCCCUCAUGAAGCUAGAAUCCGUAGUAAUCGCGUUUCAACAGAACGCGGUGAAUACGUCCCUGCUCCUU
Molecule: ribosomal RNA, 402 nt
Filed under: uncultured Methanosaeta sp.
Lineage: Archaea; Methanobacteriati; Methanobacteriota; Methanomicrobia; Methanotrichales; Methanotrichaceae
Description: bacterial SSU rRNA
Rfam family: Archaeal small subunit ribosomal RNA
Source: RNAcentral